UACGAAGGGGUCUAGCGUUGUUCGGAAUCAUUGGGCGUAAAGCGCACGUAGGCGGCUUGCUAAGUCAGGUGUGAAAUCCCGGGGCUCAACCUCGGAACUGCCUUUGAUACUGACAAUCUCGAGUCCGGAAGAGGUGGGUGGAAUUCCUAGUGUAGAGGUGAAAUUCGUAGAUAUUAGGAAGAACACCAGUGGCGAAGGCGGCCCACUGGUCCGGUACUGACGCUGAGGUGCGAAAGCGUGGGGAGCAAACAGG
This 253-nucleotide ribosomal RNA is filed under the name uncultured bacterium. Its description in RNAcentral is "partial 16S ribosomal RNA". It matches the Rfam family "Bacterial small subunit ribosomal RNA", at positions 524 to 776 of the family's 1533-position model. The record is from RNAcentral.